CCAGGCUUUUGAAAGUGUUGGGCAAGUUUCCUUUGAGAAUGAGGACUGAGAGGUCAGAUAUGGAGUGAUCCCUUUGUGCAUAAAGUGUUCAGCCAC
Molecule: non-coding RNA, 96 nt
Organism: Chelonoidis abingdonii (Abingdon island giant tortoise)
Lineage: Eukaryota; Metazoa; Chordata; Testudines; Testudinidae
Source: RefSeq, a predicted model, not a curated record